GCAAGAUCAUUGCUUAUUUUAAAAUAGUUAUUUUAGUACAGGAUUUUCGUGAAUCGCAAGAGGACCCCAGGGAACUUAGCUAAGAACAGACAGGAGAUGAAACACCUAUUGCUGACCGCUGCUCUGUUGAGUGUCGUUGCCUCACAAGUAAUGGGAGAGGGCACUUUAAACAAACAUUCAUCAAGUGAUCCAGUGCCCCAAAUAAAGACGAAAAUAUGCGGAAUGCAAGGACAAUGCUGCAAUAACUAUCCAUGCUGUUGGCAGUUCGUUUGCAAAUACAACGAAAACGCUAAAGUCAAUAUGUGUGACAGAAAGAAAAAAAAAAAAGAAGACUUCGAAUGAUGUUCUAAAGCAAUGUCAGUGUUCCUUCAACUACAAAGUCGUUGAUCCUUUAUUUUAUCUGUUAUGAAAUAAAGAGAAC
Molecule: long non-coding RNA, 421 nt
Organism: Physella acuta
Lineage: Eukaryota; Metazoa; Mollusca; Gastropoda; Physidae
Source: RefSeq, a predicted model, not a curated record